UGGGUAACCUGCCUGUAAGACUGGGAUAACUUUGGGAAACCGGGGCUAAUACCGGAUGCUUGUUUGAACCGCAUGGUUCAAACAUAAAAGGUGGCUUCGGCUACCACUUACAGAUGGACCCGCGGCGCAUUAGCUAGUUGGUGAGGUAAUGGCUCACGAAGGCAACGAUGCGUAGCCGACCUGAGAGGGUGAUCGGCCACACUGGGACUGAGACACGGCCCAGACUCCUACGGGAGGCAGCAGUAGGGAAUCUUCCGCAAUGGACGAAAGUCUUACGGAGCAACGCCGCGUGAGUGAUGAAGGUUUUCGGAUCGUAAAGCUCUGUUGUUAGGGAAGAACAAGUACCGUUCGAAUAGGGCGGUACCUUGACGGUACCUAACCAGAAAGCCACCGGAAACUACGUGCCAGCUGCCGCGGUAAUACGUAGGUGGCAAGCGUUGUCCGGAAUUAUUGGGCGUAAAGGGCUCGCAGGCGGUUCCUUAAGUCUGAUGUGAAAGCCCCCGGCUCAACCGGGGAGGGUCAUUGGAAACUGGGGAACUUGAGUGCAGAAGAAAAGAGUGGAAUUCCACGUGUAGCGGUGAAAUGCGUAGAGAUGAGGAAGGACACCAGUGGCCAAGGCGACUCUCUGGUCUGGUAAUGACGCUGAGGAGCGAAAGCGUAGGGAGCGAACAGGAUUAGAUACCCUGGUAGUCCACGCCGUAAACGAUGAGUGCUAAGUAUUAGGGGGUUUCCGCCCCUUAGUGCUGCAGCUAACGCAUUAAGCACUCCGCCUGGGGAAUACGGUCGCAAGACUGAAACUCAAAGGAAUUGACGGGGGCCCGCACAAGCG
RNAcentral lists this ribosomal RNA (829 nucleotides) under Bacillus halotolerans. Its description in RNAcentral is "bacterial SSU rRNA". It matches the Rfam family "Bacterial small subunit ribosomal RNA", at positions 118 to 931 of the family's 1533-position model. Lineage: Bacteria; Bacillati; Bacillota; Bacilli; Caryophanales; Bacillaceae. The record is from RNAcentral.